GCCGAUGUCUGCUAGAGGCUAGGCACUCGGACUGUGAAUCCGAUAACGGGGGUUCAAUUCCCUCCAUCGGCACCA
This 75-nucleotide transfer RNA is filed under the name Promethearchaeota archaeon. RNAcentral describes it as "Candidatus Lokiarchaeota archaeon tRNA-His". It matches the Rfam family "tRNA". Rfam says of the family: Transfer RNA (tRNA) molecules are approximately 80 nucleotides in length. Their secondary structure includes four short double-helical elements and three loops (D, anti-codon, and T loops). The record is from RNAcentral. Lineage: Archaea; Promethearchaeati; Promethearchaeota.